This 466-nucleotide ribosomal RNA is filed under the name uncultured bacterium. Its description in RNAcentral is "partial 16S ribosomal RNA". It matches the Rfam family "Bacterial small subunit ribosomal RNA", at positions 28 to 507 of the family's 1533-position model. The record is from RNAcentral.
GAUGAACGCUGGCGGCGUGCUUAACACAUGCAAGUCGAACGAUGAAGCCCAGCUUGCUGGGUGGAUUAGUGGCGAACGGGUGAGUAACACGUGAGUAACCUGCCCUUAACUCUGGGAUAAGCCUGGGAAACUGGGUCUAAUACCGGAUAGGAGCGCCUACCGCAUGGUGGGUGUUGGAAAGAUUUAUCGGUUUUGGAUGGACUCGCGGCCUAUCAGCUUGUUGGUGAGGUAAUGGCUCACCAAGGCGACGACGGGUAGCCGGCCUGAGAGGGUGACCGGCCACCCUGGGACUGAGACACGGCACAGACUCCUACGGUAGGCAGCAGUGGGGAAUAUUGCACAAUGGGCGAAAGCCUGAUGCAGCGACGCCGCGUGAGGGAUGACGGCCUUCGGGUUGUAAACCUCUUUCAGUAGGGAAGAAGCGAAAGUGACGGUACCUGCAGAAGAAGCACCGGCUAACUACGUG